Molecule: RNA transcript, 2661 nt
Organism: Carya illinoinensis
Lineage: Eukaryota; Viridiplantae; Streptophyta; Magnoliopsida; Fagales; Juglandaceae
Gene name: exosome complex component RRP45B-like
Exons: 11
Source: RefSeq, a predicted model, not a curated record
AUUUGAAAAUAGCUGGAAACCAAACGCGCCUCAAGGUUUAUAGGGUUUUACUGGGCGGAAAGGUAACUCUAGGGUUUUAUUCUUCACCCUGUCCAGUUCCCUAUUUCUCUGAUUCGUACAGGCAAACACACAACUGACUAUCCAAAAAUGGAGCCGAGAUUGGCCAAUACAUGGCGUUUAACUGUGAACGAGAAGAAAUUCAUCGAGACUGCUUUGCAGUCGGACCUCCGUAUCGACGGCCGUCGUCCUUUCGACUACCGCAGCCUCUCCAUCAAAUUCGGCAGAGAGGAUGGCUCGGCGGAGGUACAGUUGGGACAGACCCAUGUGAUGGGUUUUGUAACUGCCCAAUUGGUCCAGCCGUAUAAGGACAGACCUAAUGAGGGGACGCUUUCCAUCUUCACUGAAUUCUCUCCAAUGGCUGAUCCUUCUUUUGAGCCGGGCCGUCCCGGAGAGGCUGCUGUGGAGUUGGGACGCGUAAUAGACCGUGGUCUGAGGGAAAGCAGGGCAGUGGAUACAGAAUCACUUUGUGUCCUUUCUGGGAAGUUAGUAUGGGCAGUCCGUGUUGAUCUCCACAUUCUAGAUAACGGGGGAAACCUUGUUGAUGCUGCUAAUAUUGCUGCUUUGGCAGCGCUCAUGACAUUCAGGAGGCCCGAGUGUUCAUUAGGAGGAGAAGAUGGCCAGGAAGUGGUAGUGCACCCAGCUGAGGUAAGGGAGCCACUUCCUUUGAUAGUCCAUCACCUCCCUAUAGCAGUUACAUUUGCAUUUUUCAGUAAUGAGAGCAGUGUGGUGAUAGACCCCACCCACUAUGAAGAGGCUGUUAUGGGGGGAAGAAUGACUGCUACACUUAAUGCAAAUAAUGAUGUUUGUGCUAUUCAAAAAGCUGGAGGGGAGGGUGUUUUGCAGAGCGUGAUCAUGCAAUGUUUGAGAAUUGCUGGACAGAAGGCAUAUGAUAUAACUACCAAGAUUAAAAAUGCGGUUGAAUCAUACAACACAGAAAGAGCGUCACAGAAGAUCAAGCGCCACACUAUUGUUUCUUCACAUGUCAGUGGAGUCAGUGUGAAUGUAGGGAAGCAAAGCCAAUAUGUUGAUCAGAAGGAUGUUAGUGAUAGAUCAAAGCUGAUACCUGAGAAAUUUGUGGCAGAUCAAAGUAUGGACUUAGAAGGUAAAACCAAAUCGUCUGAACAAGGGCAAACUAACAGGAUAGAGGGAGAUGCUAAGAACUUCAUUGGUGGGCCCUCAAGUUGGGAUCCUUACUCCGGGGCUGUUAAUGCAGAUUUCCUGAAAGCUUCUCUUGCUUCACGUGGAACAGCAACCCCUAUUAAAAAUGAAAAGGACUCUAUGGGAGAGAAUUCUUCAUGUGAAGUUAAGCCAGUGGAACCGACUGAAGAUAUUAAUUCUGCUUCACUUACUGAGGCAGCUGAUACUGUUUUGCAGACUAACAGAGAGAAGACUUUGAAGGAUGCUGUGAAACCCAAGCACAAGAGAAAAAAUAAAGCAUCCUUCGCUAGUGAAAGUUAGAUGCCAAAAGAGAUGUUGGGUUGCAAACUUCUGUUUAGAGCUUACAGAGGGCAUCUGUACUUGAAAACCCUGUGAAUUUAGAGGCACAAAACAUGUGCAGGAGUAAAUUAACGUUCAAAUACCAAAGAACAGAACCAUAGAUGACUGUCGGCACCAAAGGAACCCAACGAACUGAAAUGUGGAGUACCAAAAGUGAGAUGCCGUUGUCUGUGGUUACUUUCAGUCGAUAAACUUCAUCUCUUUGUUCCCAUGGUGGAAAAAACGAUAAAAACAAAUGAAGUAAAAACGGUGGCACUAGUUGAUGCUCAUCAAAGUUGAUCUACUACAGGGCUUAUAUUCUCAAUCCCAGCUUCCACUGCUUAUAUUUUCUUUGUUAAAUGUCCCUUCUUGUACCAUAACACCUAAUCUAAGUACUUUGGGGGCGAUUGUAGAAGUCCCUCAUACCCACUUAUUGUACUUUGAAUUAUUCUAAUAAAAUUAUUUGCUUUUUAAAAGAGUUAUGUUACAUUCAUAAAGAUAUCACAUAAAAAUAAUCUUACAAAUUGACAUGACUUCAUAUAAUUUAUAUUAAAUCUACUUUACAAUAAAAGUUAUUUUAUAAUCUGAAAAAUCACAUUAAAUCACGUUGGUUUGUAAAAUUAUUUUGCGGCUAAAAUAUUUCCCUUCAAAAAUGGUGCAUGUUCAACGAACUUGAAAAUAUCCCCCCGUACUUUAUAGGCAUCUUUAGAUAGUUAAAACCGAAAAAACAAGAAAAUAAAAAUGAAUCUUUCUCAACAAGAGCAAAUGUAACGUGCUAUAGUCUCUUUGAAUGAAAACAUAAGUGUAGAAAUUCUGAAAACAAAACUUGGGUGACAAAAUGCCUUUUUCCGUUUAGUAUAAACGUUCAGAUAGCUCCCAAAGAAACCAACAUAAAUUGAUGUAACAAAGACAACCUAAAACUGCCUUGCCCAUAUCCUUGCCAGAAACUUCAGAUUCUAAACAUUAGCACGAAGAGAGUGAAGGAAUUAGAACACAGAUUACAACUUAAUUAAUAAGAAUCCUGGUAGGAACAGCAACACAGAUCACCAAAAUUAGUGUAUGAGUUAAACCAUCGGUUAAAAAGCCAUACAAGGGAGACGAAAUGCAAGUGUUCCCUCCCGAAAC